This 1190-nucleotide long non-coding RNA is filed under the name Gallus gallus (chicken). RNAcentral's name for it is "lncRNA (ENSGALG00010023901.1)". The record is from RNAcentral. Lineage: Eukaryota; Metazoa; Chordata; Aves; Galliformes; Phasianidae.
UGCAGAUCCCCUAGGGGAGACUACACAGCUGACAGUGGCACUGGUGAGGAAACUAGAAGAGAAACAUCCUAAGGCCUCUGCUCAAAGUACAAGAGAGACAUGGGCAUACUCCAGCAAAGUGCUGCUGAGAUCAUGAAUGAACUGAAGCAUCUCUCCUGCAAUGCAACCUGGAGAAGAGGAAGAUCAGGGGACCACUUCAGUGUCUAUAAAUAAGUACCUGAAGGGAGGGUGCAGAGAGGACAGAGCCAGGCACCGUGGUGACCAGUGCCAGGACAAUAGGCAAUGGGCACAAACUGGAUCACAAGGAGGUUCUGUACGAACAUCAGGAAACACUUCUCAGCUGACAAAGCACUGGCACGGGUUGUCCAGAGGUGCUGUGGGGUCUUCUCCUUGGCGAAGUCAUGGGCCCUGCUUGAACAUGGAAGUUGGACCACAAGACCUCUAGAGGUCCCUUCCAACUUUGACCAUUCUGUGAUUCUGUGAACAGAAGUCAUGAACAGCUUCAAUCUGCACAUGCCUCCUAACGAGUUCAGAACUCAUCCAUAUGAAGUUGAAGAAAGGGACUGAGUAUGUGAUACCAAUCAUUGUUCAUGACUGAUGUGUGAAAACUUUCUCUCCAGAUGCUAACUGUGAGACCAUUCUGUGAUAUUACAUUGCCACCAUUCCAAAACUAGUGGAAGUAUGAAGACAAGCAGUGACUUUUAUCUGCAACUUAUUUUAGACGUUACAUACUUAGAAAGAGUUCUUUCUAUGAGUUUCCAUCUUGGCUCCUAUACCAAACCUAGCACCUCUCCCAGGUAUUAUCUUGGCUAAAUGUAGUUGCAUGUAAGUGUUAUCGAUAAACUUGUGUGAAUUUCUGUGAAUUGAUAUCUAUGACUCUAUAAUUCGGAGUAAGAGAGCAGCUGUUAUAAAAUGUUAUGGUGUUUUAAAAGGCUCAGAACUAGACAAAGCUUCAUGGGAUUUCUUUUUUUUUUUUUUUUUUGGUGUGUAGACUGUAAAAUCCUUUUUUCCCCCCAUGUUGUGAAGAUAAUAAUGAGGAAAAUCCAUCACAAAUGUGAUUUUUAUCUAACCCACUUCUACCACUUUAGAUAAUUUAAAACCCAUGUUUUUUUUUCUGAUUAUGAGCUGUAACUAAUUUAUCUAAUCUUGCUCGAAGUAGAUACUGUCAUAUUUCACCGAUUUAGUAGGAC